GUAGGGUGCAAGCGUUAAUCGGGAAUUACUGGGGCGUAAAGCGUGCGCAGGCGGUUUUGUAAGUCUGAUGUGAAAUCCCCGGGGGCUCAACCUGGGAACUGCAUUGGAGACUGCAAGGCUAGAGUGUGUCAGAGGGGGGUAGAAUUCCACGUGUAGCAGUGAAAUGCGUAGAGAUGUGGAGGAAUACCGAUGGCGAAGGCAGCCCCCUGGGAUAACACUGACGCUCAUGCACGAAAGCGUGGGGAGCAAACAGGAUUAGAUACCCUGGUAGUCCACGCCCUAAACGAUGUCUACUAGUUGUCGGGACUUAAUUGUCUUGGUAACGCAGCUAACGCGUGAAGUAGACCGCCUGGGGAGUACGGUCGCAAGAUUA
This 373-nucleotide ribosomal RNA is filed under the name uncultured organism. RNAcentral describes it as "partial 16S ribosomal RNA". It matches the Rfam family "Bacterial small subunit ribosomal RNA", at positions 527 to 896 of the family's 1533-position model. The record is from RNAcentral.